CCGGGGAGCAACUGGGCAAAGAUGGAUUGGUGCCUUCGGGAACUCGAACACAGGUGCUGCAUGGCUGUCGUCAGCUCGUGUCGGGAGAUGUUGGGUUAAGUCCCGCAACGAGCGCAACCCUUGUCCUUAGUUGCCAGCACGUAAUGGGGGGAACUCUAUGGAGACCGCCGGGGAGAAACCGGAGGAAGGGGGGGAUGACGACAAGUCUUCUUGGCCCUUACGGCCAGGUUUACACACGUACUACAAGGGUGGGGACAAAGGGUUGCAACCCGGCGACGGGAACCCAAUCCCAUAAACCCUAUCUCAGUCCGGAUUGAAGUCUGCAACUCUAUUGCGUGAAAACGAAAUCUUUAUAAAUCGCAGAUCACCAUGGCUGCGGGAAAAAAUUCCCCGGCCUUUGAAAACACCCCCCUUUUUUUUUUUUGGAAGGUUGUUUCACCAAAAGGGGAAACCCCCCCCCUUCCCGGGAGGGGUUUGCCCGGGUGGGGCCGAGGACUGGGGGAAACCCAAAAAAAGGAAACAAA
This 524-nucleotide ribosomal RNA is filed under the name Stenotrophomonas sp. RB1E. RNAcentral's name for it is "partial 16S ribosomal RNA". It matches the Rfam family "Bacterial small subunit ribosomal RNA", at positions 989 to 1503 of the family's 1533-position model. Lineage: Bacteria; Pseudomonadati; Pseudomonadota; Gammaproteobacteria; Lysobacterales; Lysobacteraceae. The record is from RNAcentral.